UACGGUCUCAGUUCAGAUUGCAGGCUGCAACUCGCCUGCAUGAAGUUGGAAUUGCUAGUAAUCGCGAAUCAGAAUGUCGCGGUGAAUACGUUCCCGGGCCUUGUACACACCGCCCGUCACACCAUGAGAGUCGAUAACACCCGAAGCCUGUGAGCUAACCUUUUAGGAGGCAGCAGUCGAAGGUGGGGUUGAUGAUUGGGGUGAAGUCGUAACAAGGUACC
This 221-nucleotide ribosomal RNA is filed under the name uncultured bacterium. RNAcentral's name for it is "partial 16S ribosomal RNA". It matches the Rfam family "Bacterial small subunit ribosomal RNA", at positions 1281 to 1500 of the family's 1533-position model. The record is from RNAcentral.